UGAUGUGAAAGCCCCCGGCUCAACCGGGGAGGGUCAUUGGAAACUGGGGAACUUGAGUGCAGAAGAGGAGAGUGGAAUUCCACGUGUAGCGGUGAAAUGCGUAGAGAUGUGGAGGAACACCAGUGGCGAAGGCGACUCUCUGGUCUGUAACUGACGCUGAGGCGCGAAAGCGUGGGGAGCGAACAGGAUUAGAUACCCUGGUAGUCCACGCCGUAAACGAUGAGUGCUAAGUGUUAGAGGGUUUCCGCCCUUUAGUGCUGCAGCAAACGCAUUAAGCACUCCGCCUGGGGAGUACGGUCGCAAGACUGAAACUCAAAGGAAUUGACGGGGGCCCGCACAAGCGGUGGAGCAUGUGGUUUAAUUCGAAGCAACGCGAAGAACCUUACCAGGUCUUGACAUCCUCUGACAACCCUAGAGAUAGGGCUUCCCCUUCGGGGGCAGAGUGACAGGUGGUGCAUGGUUGUCGUCAGCUCGUGUCGUGAGAUGUUGGGUUAAGUCCCGCAACGAGCGCAACCCUUGAUCUUAGUUGCCAGCAUUCAGUUGGGCACUCUAAGGUGACUGCCGGUGACAAACCGGAGGAAGGUGGGGAUGACGUCAAAUCAUCAUGCCCCUUAUGACCUGGGCUACACACGUGCUACAAUGGGCAGAACAAAGGGCAGCGAAGCCGCGAGGCUAAGCCAAUCCCACAAAUCUGUUCUCAGUUCGGAUCGCAGUCUGCAACUCGACUGCGUGAAGCUGGAAUCGCUAGUAAUCGCGGAUCAGC
RNAcentral lists this ribosomal RNA (763 nucleotides) under Bacillus sp. (in: firmicutes). RNAcentral's name for it is "bacterial SSU rRNA". It matches the Rfam family "Bacterial small subunit ribosomal RNA", at positions 590 to 1353 of the family's 1533-position model. Lineage: Bacteria; Bacillati; Bacillota; Bacilli; Caryophanales; Bacillaceae. The record is from RNAcentral.